CCCGGCGCGAGCCUGCCCCCAGCUCUGCCGACACUUGACCCAGACCAGUCCCAACGCCCAGUGCGGCCGCCUGGGGAGCCGCGGGAGAGGCGGCGGCGGGGGGAGGAGGGAGAGGAGGGCCGAGCCGGCGGCCCGGGAGGCCCGGUUUUGAAGCCGCUUCUCUGGCCGAGUUAGGUUUCGCCCAGCGCAAUUUCUUUCUCUAUGUACUUUGCGAAUAAGUUUCGGAGCAUCGGUUAACAGCCUAUGGGUGAAAUUUGGCUUUCAUUCAUGAAUGAGCUUCAGUUGUGGAGGGCCAAAAGGGUAUCAUUCUUCGAGCUAUUCAAGAAAUAUUUCAAAGCAUCUCUGAACAUCCUAGCAUUGACUUUAAUGUGAAAGUAUCUUAUAUAGAAGUGUACAAGGAAGACCUAAGAGAUCUUCUAGAAUUGGAGACAUCCAUGAAAGAUCUUCACAUCCGAAAAGAUGAAAAAGGAAACACAGG
This 478-nucleotide long non-coding RNA is filed under the name Homo sapiens (human). Its description in RNAcentral is "non-protein coding lnc-NAA35-6:8". Lineage: Eukaryota; Metazoa; Chordata; Mammalia; Primates; Hominidae. The record is from RNAcentral.